GACGAACGCUGGCGGCGUGCUUAACACAUGCAAGUCGAACGGUGAAGCGCCUUCCUUUUUGGUGGGUGUGGAUGAGUGGCGAACGGGUGAGUAACACGUAAGUAACCUGCCCCCUUCUUCUGGAUAACCGCAUGAAAGUGUGGCUAAUACGGGAUAUUCUGGGUCUGUCGCAUGAUGGGUCUGGGAAAGAUAUUGUUUCGGUGGGGGAUGGGCUCGCGGCCUAUCAGCUUGUUGGUGGGGUGAUGGCCUACCAAGGCGGUGACGGGUAGCUGGCCUGAGAGGGUGGACGGUCACACGGGGACUGAGACACGGCCCAGACUCAUACGGGAGGCAGCAGUGGGGAAUAUUGCACAAUGGGCGCAAGCCUGAUGCAGCGACGCCGCGUGAGGGAUGGAGGCCUUCGGGUUGUGAACCUCUUUCGCCAGUGAAGCAGGCCUGCCUCGUUUGUGGGUGGGUUGACGGUAGCUGGAUAAGAAGCGCCGGCUAACUACGUG
This 494-nucleotide ribosomal RNA is filed under the name uncultured bacterium. Its description in RNAcentral is "partial 16S ribosomal RNA". It matches the Rfam family "Bacterial small subunit ribosomal RNA", at positions 28 to 507 of the family's 1533-position model. The record is from RNAcentral.